This 272-nucleotide ribosomal RNA is filed under the name uncultured Carnobacteriaceae bacterium. RNAcentral describes it as "partial 16S ribosomal RNA". It matches the Rfam family "Bacterial small subunit ribosomal RNA", at positions 524 to 795 of the family's 1533-position model. The record is from RNAcentral. Lineage: Bacteria; Bacillati; Bacillota; Bacilli; Lactobacillales; Carnobacteriaceae.
UACGUAGGUGACAAGCGUUGUCCGGAUUUAUUGGGCGUAAAGGGAGCGCAGGCGGUCUGUUUAGUCUAAUGUGAAAGCCCACGGCUUAACCGUGGAACGGCAUUGGAAACUGACAGACUUGAAUGUAGAAGAGGAAAAUGGAAUUCCAAGUGUAGCGGUGGAAUGCGUAGAUAUUUGGAGGAACACCAGUGGCGAAGGCGAUUUUCUGGUCUAACAUUGACGCUGAGGCUCGAAAGCGUGGGGAGCGAACAGGAUUAGAUACCCUGGUAGUC